CUGGCUGCGGGCGGGCCAGGCCCUGCAGCGCGUCUUGCUGUACGCGGCGGGCCACAACGUCGCGGCAGGGUUCCAUACCCAGCCACUGGA
This 90-nucleotide transfer RNA is filed under the name Streptomyces aureoverticillatus. Its description in RNAcentral is "tRNA-Asp". The record is from RNAcentral. Lineage: Bacteria; Bacillati; Actinomycetota; Actinomycetes; Kitasatosporales; Streptomycetaceae.